RNAcentral lists this long non-coding RNA (752 nucleotides) under Nicotiana benthamiana. RNAcentral's name for it is "long non-coding RNA (NBEN_LNC033133)". Lineage: Eukaryota; Viridiplantae; Streptophyta; Magnoliopsida; Solanales; Solanaceae. The record is from RNAcentral.
AAAACCCCUACUGUAACGCCACCCUUGGGCCAUCAUUCGCCGCCCGCCGGAAAUCGCCCAUGGCGGCAACCGGCGGUCAAUCGCUCCCAAAUUUACACCAAAUGCUCCUCUCUACCACUCCAUCCCAGAUCUCCACUCACUUUCCCCUAAAUCCGGCUAGACUUUCUCAAAUUUUAGAAAUCCUGGUGCCGCAACUAUGUUCUCCGGUGGCGGCACCAUCACAAAACGACCCCUAAAUUACACCAAAUACUCCCGUUGACCCCCUCAUCCCAAAUCUCCACUUAGCUGCCUUCGAAUACCCCUGGAACUCUUCGAAUAUUAAACGAACCCUAUAAUCCAAAUCGAGAUUCUGCGGACGAUUUUGGUCUAAUGUGAUUUUAUUCAUUUAUUCUCUAUGAGAACAUGCAACUAAUGUCAAAUUUGACCGGAAAUCUGAAGAGUUGAAGAUUCAAGCCUCUUUAUUUAUGCUCCAAACUGUAGUGAGUAUAUCCUUUUCUGUCUCUGAUUUAAUCUUUCCUUCAGUGUUCUUUUUCCAUUUUUCUGUUCCUUCUCUUCUUCUUUUUUCUUUCUUAUUUCUGUUCCGGAGUUUAUUUAUUCAUGAAUGGUUAAUUCAGAAUCUUUUCUUAAUUAGUUAAUUAGUUCUUUAAUAGUUUAGUUAAUUCCCUUUAUUUGUGUUAAUUAAACAAUAGUUUAGUUUAGGUUUUUAUUUAUGAAAAAUCAUUUCAGUACUUGGAUUAUUCUUUCUUUCAAAG